This 269-nucleotide ribosomal RNA is filed under the name uncultured prokaryote. RNAcentral's name for it is "partial 16S ribosomal RNA". It matches the Rfam family "Bacterial small subunit ribosomal RNA", at positions 524 to 792 of the family's 1533-position model. The record is from RNAcentral.
UACGGAGGUGGCAAGCGUUACUCGGUAUGACUGGGUGUAAAGGGUCCGCAGGCGGCCUUAUAAGUGAAAGGUGAAAUCUUUCGGCUUAACCGAAAAACUGCCUUUCAAACUAUAAGGAUAGAGGAUGAAAGAGGAAAGUGGAACUGUCGGUGUAAAGGUGAAAUUUGUGGAUAUCGACAGGAACGCCCGUGGGGAAGCCGACUUUCUGGUUCAUUCCUGACGCUGAGGGACGAAAGCUAGGGGAGCGAACAGGAUUAGAUACCCCCGUA